UACGUAGGGUGCGAGCGUUGUCCGGAAUUACUGGGCGUAAAGAGCUUGUAGGUGGUUUGUCGCGUUGUUCGUGAAAUCUCACGGCUUAACUGUGAGCGUGCGCGAUACGGGCAGACUAGAGUACUGCAGGGGAGACUGGAAUUCCUGGUGUAGCGGUGGAAUGCGCAGAUAUCAGGAGGAACACCGGUGGCGAAGGCGGUUCUCUGGGAAUAUCCUGACGCUGAGGAGCGAAAGUGUGGGGAGCGAACAGG
RNAcentral lists this ribosomal RNA (251 nucleotides) under uncultured bacterium. Its description in RNAcentral is "partial 16S ribosomal RNA". It matches the Rfam family "Bacterial small subunit ribosomal RNA", at positions 524 to 776 of the family's 1533-position model. The record is from RNAcentral.